This 125-nucleotide unclassified non-coding RNA is filed under the name Chryseobacterium soldanellicola. RNAcentral describes it as "Flavo-1 RNA". The record is from RNAcentral. Lineage: Bacteria; Pseudomonadati; Bacteroidota; Flavobacteriia; Flavobacteriales; Weeksellaceae.
CCCUAGCCCCGAUUGAAGCUUUGUUUGAGCUCAUUUUCGGGGUAUUUUUUUCGGCUGCGGCGGCAAAGCCGCCGCAGCCGAAAAAAAUAUCCCCAAAAUAGCGAGUGCGGAAAGCGGGAAAAAGC